This 422-nucleotide ribosomal RNA is filed under the name uncultured bacterium. RNAcentral describes it as "bacterial SSU rRNA". It matches the Rfam family "Bacterial small subunit ribosomal RNA", at positions 29 to 454 of the family's 1533-position model. The record is from RNAcentral.
AGCGAACGUUUGCGGCGGGCCUAACACAUGCAAGCCGAACGCACUAGCAAUAGUGAGUGGCGCACGGGUGCGUAACACGUGGGUAAUCAACCCUUCAGCUUGGGAUAACGACUUGAAAGGGUCGCUAAUACCGGAUACGGCGAGAGAGGCUUCGGCAUUUCUCGAGAAAGCCUCGCAAGGGGCACUGAAGGACGAGCCUGCGGCCCAUCAGCUAGUUGGUGAGGUAAGAGCUCACCAAGGCGAAGACGGGUAGCUGGUCUGAGAGGAUGAUCAGCCACACUGGAACUGAGACACGGUCCAGACUCCUACGGGAGGCAGCAGUGGGGAAUAUUGCGCAAUGGGCGAAAGCCUGACGCAGCCACGCCGCGUGAGCGAUGAAGGCCUUCGGGUCGUAAAGCUCUGUGGGGAGAGGACGAAGAAAG